GAUGAACGCUGGCGGCGUGCCUAAUACAUGCAAGUCGAGCGAACAGACGAGGAGCUUGCUCCUCUGACGAUAGCGGCGGCCGGGUGAGUACCACGUGGAUAACCUACCUAUAAGACUGGGAUAACUUCGGGAAACCGGAGCUAAUACAGGAUAAUAUAUUGAACCGCAUGGUUCAAUAGUGCAAGUCGGUGUUGCUGUCACUUAUACAUGGAUCCGCGCCGCAUUAGCUAGUUGGUAAGGUAACGGCUUACCAAGGCAACGAUGUGUAGCCGACCUGAGAGGGUCAUCGGCCACACUGGAAGUGAGGCACGGUCCAGACUCCUACGGGAGGCAGCAGUAGGGAAUCUUCCGCAAUGGGCGAAAGCCUAACGGAGCAACGCCGCGUGAGUGAUGAAGGUCUGCGGAUCGUAAAACGCUGUUAUUAGGGAAGAACAAAUGUGUAAGUAACUAUGCACAUCUUGACGGUACCUAAUCAGAAAGCCACGGCUAACUACGUG
RNAcentral lists this ribosomal RNA (497 nucleotides) under uncultured bacterium. RNAcentral's name for it is "partial 16S ribosomal RNA". It matches the Rfam family "Bacterial small subunit ribosomal RNA", at positions 28 to 507 of the family's 1533-position model. The record is from RNAcentral.